RNAcentral lists this ribosomal RNA (254 nucleotides) under uncultured bacterium. RNAcentral describes it as "partial 16S ribosomal RNA". It matches the Rfam family "Bacterial small subunit ribosomal RNA", at positions 524 to 776 of the family's 1533-position model. The record is from RNAcentral.
UACGAAGGGGGCUAGCGUUGUUCGGAAUUACUGGGCGUAAAGCGCGCGCAGGCGGUUCUUUUAAGUCAGGGGUGAAAGCCCAGAGCUCAACUCUGGAAUUGCCUUUGAAACUAGAGAACUUGAGUACGGGAGAGGUGAGUGGAAUUCCGAGUGUAGAGGUGAAAUUCGUAGAUAUUCGGAAGAACACCAGUGGCGAAGGCGGCUCACUGGCCCGUUACUGACGCUCAGGCGCGACAGCGUGGGGAGCAAACAGG